Octopus bimaculoides (California two-spot octopus) is the source of this 2078-nucleotide long non-coding RNA. Lineage: Eukaryota; Metazoa; Mollusca; Cephalopoda; Octopoda; Octopodidae. The record is from RefSeq and is a predicted model, not a curated record.
CACACACACACACACACACACACACACACACACACACACACACACACACACACACACACACACGUCUAUAUGAAGAAGCAAAGAUUUUCGCACUUUCACGGACUGCCUGUUGCGAAAAAAUGCUCAUUCCCUCCCCAUCCUCUCCCUCCACAUACUACUACUACUACUACCACUACUACUACUACUAACCGCAAUCAACAAGCAAAGCUUCCCUUCGACACCGCACUUCCUUGUUCCAUUACGAGGUCGCCAAAUCGCCACCAUUGCUGUUAUCGCCAACCGCUGCUCUAACAACGUUUGGUGACACAGCUGUCUAGCCCGCUCCCCCACAUUAUCGAUACAUCUGUCUAUCAAUAUCGGACACUCAUUCACCAAAGCUGCACCCUCUCGCAACCCCAUCUCUCUCUCUCCACACAUUUUUCCUACAACGUAUUGCGGCCCCCUUUUUUUUCCUUUGUAAAUUGUCAUUGGUGCAAAGCCAAAAAAAAAAAAAAAAAUCGUUCAAUCUUCCUUUCGUUCAAGUGAGUUGUAACAAAGCCCUCUACUACUACUACUACUACUUGUUAUGUCGUAACCCUCGUACACUAUAAUAAACACUCUCUCUCUAUAUAUAUCGGCCUUUUGGGUAAGAUCAAAGUGUAGUAUAUAUAUAUAUCUAUAUAUAUAUUAUAUAUCAUAUAUUAUAUAUCUAUAUAUAUCCAUUAUUUUGAAUAUAGAAGGGGAUAGAUUGAGGGAGGGAAGACAUAGUUUUUACACUCACACACAUAAAUAUAAACAUAUACUUCGUAAUAAAUUCUCUCUUUCACUUUCUCUCACUCUCUACCCCUCCCCCACUAUCUCGCUCUUCUCUCUCUCUCUCUCUCUACAUAUGUUUGUAUUUACAUUUUUACAGUUCUCUUUAUACAUGUAAAUACACGCGUAUCCGAUGUUUUCCACGUACGAAUUAUGUUCAUAUCUAUUAGAUAUGGAGAGACCGGUUGAGAUCUAAAUCGACCAAAAGAGAAAAAAGAGAUUGAUAACUACAUACAUACAUACAUUAUAAAUUUAUUAUAUAUAUAUAUAUAUAUAUAUAUAUAUAUAUAUAUCUAUGUACAUAUAUGUAUAACAUAUAUGUAUACACACACAUUUAUACAUUAGACAAAUUCAUACCACAUACAUACAACCUUACCUACAUAGACCUAUAAAUUCAAACAUAUAUAGACAUAUAUAGCUACAGAUGUAUGUUGAAUUCAACAUGCAGUUUUAUACGGCAUAUAUACGCAAAAAAAUUAGCCACGGAACCCCUACGACGGAGGCGGGAUGACAUGGGACCAAUUUUAGAAAAGACAACGAUACGCAGAAAGCAAAAUAUUAUAACCGAAACAUGACAGAAAAACAGUACAAAAAUAAGGUAUGACACGAAAAAAGAAGAAAAUUAUCAUUUUAAUGAACAAGUAAUAAAAGAAAAAUAUUUUGAACAGUCUAACAAUAACUUUGAAGAUCGUGACAACAGCAACAACAUCUGCACAGUGACAAACGUUUUUAUUUAUUCAUAUAAAACUAGUUUUGGAUGUGUUGUGUCACAAACAGAAGUUUUAGAUUUAACACAGUCCCCAUCCGAAACAGAGAGAAUGAUUUUCUAAAAUCAGAUAUUAAUGCCUCCUUGUCGCAGGAUGUAAUCUAAGAGAACAAUGAAUAAGUAAAUGAAUGAAUGAAUUAAUUAAUAUCAGUAUUUUGAAAAAAAAAUGGCAGAUCAAAGUGACAGACAAUGGCCAAACACGUCAUGUCGCAAACAGGGUUAGAGACACACAGAUUGGCGGAAACUAUGCAGUGACAUCACAAUAAAUUGUGAAAGUCUUAUCCAGAAGACAAAGGUUUUAUCUACCACCGCCAACUCUAAAAAUACUAAUGAUUGACUUUGAAUGGUUGAGACAACAGCAGGAACAAUGUCCGGUGAAUAGGAACAUGUAGAGAUCUAACCCGACCUACCCAGCACUUUUUAACAUUCCUCAUAUCUUAUUAUCUUUUAUUUACAUCUAAUUGCUUUGUUUUAUUAUAUUUCUGUGUAAUUACUAAUUAAAUAACUUUACAAUUUGUCA